This is a long non-coding RNA of Gasterosteus aculeatus aculeatus (three-spined stickleback), 1373 nucleotides long. Lineage: Eukaryota; Metazoa; Chordata; Actinopteri; Perciformes; Gasterosteidae. The record is from Ensembl.
ACACCUGGAGUAUAUAAAGGAGAUUGUGGCGUGUCACCUCAUCAUCUGUUUAAAUCAUCACCUGCACUGCAACUCAUCCUCCCUGAUCAACACAGAACAACUAUGGCAGCAGCAGCCUUAUCAAGAAGCAAAGGACGCCUGUUCUUCCUCCUCAGUCUGCUGUGUCUGGUUGGCCUCGCAAGUUUACGCAAAGACGACAUGAACCUGGUGAGCAAACUGCUGCUUAACUUCCCUUUGCUGUGAAAACAUAUUCUGCAGUUAUUUUGAGUCAACACAAGCAAACCUACUGUUGAAUUGUUCUUACUUUUUUACAUCUGUACUCGCAGAUAUGCUGGAGUUGUCAUGUUUAGACCCUUAUUUCCACCAAAUAACGACAUGUUGAUUCUCACACUCGAUUUGCAGGACAAUUCCAAAGUACUAAUUCAGAAAACGGAAGAAAAGCUAAACCAGUUGAAGGACAAUUUCAAAGCACAAAUUCAGAAAGCGGAAGAAAACCUAAACCAGUUGAAGGCACAAAAGGACUUCUUAUCAACGCUCAUGAGUGAAACAAAGACCUUUACUGAACAGAGGAUGGCCGCUUUGGAGAAGUUUUUGUCAGAAGAAUCUGCUGACGAUGAUCUACCACUGAAAAACCUUUUUCAGAGCUUAUUGCAUUUAUCUGACUCAGCCAAGGCUUUUUUCGACAAGGAGAAUGAGGUGUCUGAUGCAGAAAUAACCAACAUGAAGCUAGAUCUGGAAAAGACUAAGCGACUUGUCCAAGCCCUUGAGGAGUACCACUCUGAAUUGUAAUGUUUAAGUCAGUCAAUGUCUCUCUUGCAUCUCUGAUAAUGAAUAUGCUGUAGUCUUUGGUCUUUCUUUUCUAUUGUGUUUCUUUGCACUGGUGUUUAAAUCAUGAAUUCCUUUUUCCUUCUUUAUCAUACAAUUUGUGAAGCAGAGAGAAUGUUGAUAAUAAAUCAACAUAAACACUGACAUGACAACAAUUAACCCAAAUGAUUUGUUUUGGUUUUUCUUUCAUUUGAAUUCUUGAGCAAUACUUCAAUACUCAAUCAUUUGACAUAGGCUGCAAACUUUAAAAAUGUUGAUUAUUAUUUAAUAAAUGUUCUGCCUAUUGAUUUUACAUCGCUGUAGAGUUAUAUGUUUUUAUAUACUACAUGCCUUCCUCAGAAAGAACGGCACACACCUGCUAGCCAAACACACAAACAGAAAAAAAGAAAUUAAAGAACAACGUCAGGGAAAGCAGCAUAUUCACAAACAUAAGGGCCAAUAAACCAAACCAUAACCGUUAUACUGUUGGUCUUGUGUAGCCAAAUGUCCGACGUGCACAGUAACAUGGAAACCUAAAGGUUCGCAAUUUCAAACCUAAAUUCAUGAAU